RNAcentral lists this ribosomal RNA (763 nucleotides) under Escherichia coli. RNAcentral describes it as "partial 23S ribosomal RNA". It matches the Rfam family "Bacterial large subunit ribosomal RNA", at positions 165 to 969 of the family's 2925-position model. Lineage: Bacteria; Pseudomonadati; Pseudomonadota; Gammaproteobacteria; Enterobacterales; Enterobacteriaceae. The record is from RNAcentral.
CAUAGGUUAAUGAGGCGAACCGGGGGAACUGAAACAUCUAAGUACCCCGAGGAAAAGAAAUCAACCGAGAUUCCCCCAGUAGCGGCGAGCGAACGGGGAGGAGCCCAGAGCCUGAAUCAGUGUGUGUGUUAGUGGAAGCGUCUGGAAAGGCGCGCGAUACAGGGUGACAGCCCCGUACACAAAAAUGCACAUAUUGUGAGCUCGAUGAGUAGGGCGGGACACGUGGUAUCCUGUCUGAAUAUGGGGGGACCAUCCUCCAAGGCUAAAUACUCCUGACUGACCGAUAGUGAACCAGUACCGUGAGGGAAAGGCGAAAAGAACCCCGGCGAGGGGAGUGAAAAAGAACCUGAAACCGUGUACGUACAAGCAGUGGGAGCCUCUUAAUGGGGUGACUGCGUACCUUUUGUAUAAUGGGUCAGCGACUUAUAUUCUGUAGCAAGGUUAACCGAAUAGGGGAGCCGAAGGGAAACCGAGUCUUAACUGGGCGUUAAGUUGCAGGGUAUAGACCCGAAACCCGGUGAUCUAGCCAUGGGCAGGUUGAAGGUUGGGUAACACUAACUGGAGGACCGAACCGACUAAUGUUGAAAAAUUAGCGGAUGACUUGUGGCUGGGGGUGAAAGGCCAAUCAAACCGGGAGAUAGCUGGUUCUCCCCGAAAGCUAUUUAGGUAGCGCCUCGUGAAUUCAUCUCCGGGGGUAGAGCACUGUUUCGGCAAGGGGGUCAUCCCGACUUACCAACCCGAUGCAAACUGCGAAUACCGGAGA